GUAGGUGGCAAGCGUUGUCCGGAAUUAUUGGGCGUAAAGCGCGCGCAGGUGGGUUCUUUAAGUCUGAUGUGAAAGCCCCCGGGCUCAACCGGGGAGGGUCAUUGGAAACUGGGGAACUUGAGUGUAGGAGAGGAAAGUGGAAUUCCACGUGUAGCGGUGAAAUGCGUAGAUAUGUGGAGGAACACCAGUGGCGAAGGCGACUUUCUGGCCUGUAACUGACACUGAGGCGCGAAAGCGUGGGGAGCAAACAGGAUUAGAUACCCUGGUAGUCCACGCCGUAAACGAUGAGUGCUAAGUGUUGGGGGGUUUCCGCCCCUCAGUGCUGCAGCUAACGCAUUAAGCACUCCGCCUGGGGAGUACGGUCGCAAAGACUG
RNAcentral lists this ribosomal RNA (374 nucleotides) under uncultured organism. RNAcentral's name for it is "partial 16S ribosomal RNA". It matches the Rfam family "Bacterial small subunit ribosomal RNA", at positions 527 to 896 of the family's 1533-position model. The record is from RNAcentral.